RNAcentral lists this ribosomal RNA (253 nucleotides) under uncultured bacterium. RNAcentral describes it as "partial 16S ribosomal RNA". It matches the Rfam family "Bacterial small subunit ribosomal RNA", at positions 524 to 776 of the family's 1533-position model. The record is from RNAcentral.
UACGUAGGGACCAAGCGUUGUUCGGAUUUACUGGGCGUAAAGGGCGCGUAGGCGGCGUGUUAAGUCAGCUGUGAAAUCUCCAAGCUUAACUUGGAACGGUCAGCUGAUACUGAUGUGCUAGAGUGCAGAAGGGGCAAUCGGAAUUCUUGGUGUAGCGGUGAAAUGCGUAGAUAUCAAGAGGAACACCUGAGGUGAAGACGGGUUGCUGGGCUGACACUGACGCUGAGGCACGAAGGCCAGGGGAGCAAACGGG